UAACAAGGAUAAAAUACUUAGGCUUUUAAGAUCCGGUUGCAGUUCUAGUUGUUAUACUCACUCAUACACCUGACAUCAAGUCAUAUUUGACUCUAAAACACUAACCAAGCUUCUUCUUGCUUCUCAAAGCUUUGAUGGUGUAGCCGUAGUCCGUAUGAGUCUUUGUCUUUGUAUCUUCUAACAAGGAUACAAUACUUAGGCUUUUAAGAUCUCGUUACGGUUCUAGUUGUUAUACUCACUCAUACACAUGACAUCUAGUCAUC
Molecule: small RNA, 263 nt
Filed under: Arabidopsis thaliana (thale cress)
Lineage: Eukaryota; Viridiplantae; Streptophyta; Magnoliopsida; Brassicales; Brassicaceae
Description: ATSL266790
Rfam family: MIR5643 microRNA precursor family (bases 138-220)
Source: RNAcentral